This 371-nucleotide ribosomal RNA is filed under the name uncultured organism. Its description in RNAcentral is "bacterial SSU rRNA". It matches the Rfam family "Bacterial small subunit ribosomal RNA", at positions 526 to 896 of the family's 1533-position model. The record is from RNAcentral.
CAGAGGGUGCGAGCGUUAAUCGGAAUUACUGGGCGUAAAGCGCGCGUAGGCGGCUUUGCAAGUCGGGUGUGAAAUCCCCAGGCUUAACCUGGGAACUGCAUUCGAGACUGCAUAGCUAGAGUAUGGGAGAGGGAAGUGGAAUUUCAGGUGUAGCGGUGAAAUGCGUAGAUAUCUGAAGGAACAUCAGUGGCGAAAGCGACUUCCUGGACCAAUACUGACGCUCAUGUGCAAAAGCGUGGGGAGCAAACAGGAUUAGAUACCCUGGUAGUCCACGCCAUAAACGAUGAGAACUGGAUGUCGGGAGGGUCUGCCUCUCGGUGUCGUAGCUAACGCGUUAAGUUCUCCGCCUGGGGAGUACGGCCGCAAGGUUG